Molecule: long non-coding RNA, 6802 nt
Organism: Spodoptera frugiperda (fall armyworm)
Lineage: Eukaryota; Metazoa; Arthropoda; Insecta; Lepidoptera; Noctuidae
Exons: 2
Source: RefSeq, a predicted model, not a curated record
CUUCCCAAUCUUCCCCAUUCCCAUUCCCGAACAACAACCCUUAAAUUCCUAACUCCCAAAAAGCCGGUAACGCACUUGUAAAGCCUCUGGUGUUUCAAGUGUCCAUGGGCGGCGGCGAUUGCUUACCAUCAGGUAAUACGUCUGCUCGACUACCGGCAUGUUUCAUAAAAAAAAAAAAAAAAAAAAAAAAAGACAACUUGGAUUAUUUAUUUAUACUCCGUUCGGGCAUUUUCUUUGUACUAAAAGUUUAAUUAUAUUGAUAUUAUUUUUUUCAUACCUUUUUACUAUUUAUUUACUUUUUUUCGAUGAAUUAAAACAAUAACAUGAACCGAAGUCGUGUAACGAUCGACAUAGAAUUAUCUAUACUCCGUUAGAGCAUUUUCUUUGUACUAAAUGUUUUAUUAUAUUGAUAUUAUUUUUUUCAUACCUUUUUACUAUUUAUUUACUUUUUUCGAUAAAUUAAAACAAUAACAUGAACCGAAGUCGUGUAACGAUCGACAUAGAAUUAUUUAUAAAUAAUUUAUUUCUUAUUUUUAUUUUUUGAUUUUUGAAAUAAAAAUAUAUCUAUGUCCUUUCUAAGGUUCUAAACUAUAUCUGUACCAAAUUUCAACCAAAUCCGUCAAAUAGUUGCGGAGAUUAAUGGUAUAAGCAUAGAAUGUUCGACGUGAUUCUUUAAUUUGACAUAACUUUUUUAUUUAUGAACCGAUUGACAUGAAACAAACACUAAAUGUAAAUUUAAGCAUCCCACAAUAUAUUCGUGAAAACCGCAUCCAACUCGGAUCAGCCGUUUCUGAGAUUAGCGCGCACAGACGAACAGACAAACAGACAAACAGACAAAAAAAAAGUUAAUUACAUUUUUGGGUUCGACAUCGACAUAACAAUAACCCCUGCUAUUUUUUUUAUUUUUAUUUUCAAUGUACAGACAGCACUUUUCUACGAUUUUAUUAUAUGUAUAGAUGUAUAGAUUACAUGAAAUGUUGAGAUAUUACACAUGGAUAUUCCGGAAAGACAUUACUGAGAAAUAAGGUUAAUUAGAGAACUUCACUUCUUUAUUUUACUUGGGAAUAUUUAAGAAAUGCAUUGGAUUUCCAGUAUUUUACUCCGUAUAUGUACUAAGUUUAUACAAGCAGGAAUCACGAUACAUAUGAUGUAUACACUUCAUGUAUCUCAUAGUCUAUCCGAUAAGUUUCUUGACGGUUAUCUUCGAUACAACUUUACCAAACAUUUCGUACGGGAAACAUUGAAAGCAGCAGUUUAUGCCACUAUGGCAAAAAGCUAUUCAAACAUUUAAUAAGAAUCUGUACAGUCUUCCACAAGAUAACCAGUUGAUAGUAAUAAUUGACUCGGUUGCUAUGGUAACGAGUUUCUUGACGGUUGUCUUCGACACGACGUUGACAGAACAUAUAGUACCUAGCUGUGUAUGUAGCUACACACCACUGUGGAAUACUGACUGGGUACAAGUUUGACAAAUAAUUUCGUAAAAUAAGACAAGUCUUAUCGCACCUGAGUGCUGAAUUUAAAGUGAGACGUUUAAUGAUAGUACUGAAUUGACCGUUUUAAACUAUGACUCUGAUGUAGAUAACGUACCACGAAUGUAUUUGUAGUUUCUUGACGGUUGUCUUCGAUACAACACUCAUGUUGUAAUCAUGCAACAUGUAGGAAAGAGUAGUAAGUAGCUGGAGCCACCGACUACUUGGAAAUACUGACUAGGUGGGUCUCAUCCAAACUCCUUUAUUAUUACAUCGUUACGAAUGAAGUGAAAUCUUGUCAUGUCAUAUUAAUGUAAACUCACAUUAAUGACGUAAUAAAAUAUAUAAUGUAAGUAGCUGUACAUGGAGCUACAAGCUACUUGGAAAUACUGAAUGAGUAAAUAGCAUCAGGAGGUGCUCGACCACCUCGAGUAUCUUGACUAGGUUUUACAUUUCAUAGAAGUACGAAGAAGUUUCUUGACGGUUGUCCUUCACAGAACUCUUUUACGACAUUUCAGUCACGACACGUGUAGGAAAUAUUUAUAAUAUAGUAAUAUCGAUGUACACAAUUAGAACAAGCACGAAUCAUCGGUAGUAGUUCCAUCAUAAUAAAAUUGUUCUUCAAUAGAACUUUUAGACAAUAUUUUGAUCAUUAAAUAUGUUAGAAAUACAUAUGUGGCCUUCUCAUUAACCCUUGGAGAACAUUACAACACGACAUUUCUAAGACAAUAGAGUUUCUUGACAGUUGUUCCUCAAUAGAACUCAAUAUAGACACGAUGCUUAACGUUUUAAAUACAUUAAACAUUUAGUACAUAUCUCCAUGUAUUUUUAAAUAUUGAAAAGGAUAUCUUGUGUAGAACGACCGUAGAGCAGUAUCCUUCUCCUCAGUCGUACAUUCUUGACAGAAUGCUCGUGGUUGACAAUGAUGCAUUUUCUCUGGAUAUCGUAGCCAUCGCGAUGUGCCUCCACUUGUUGCGGUCUUCACCCGUAACCCUGGGCACGGGUUCCGCGUUAUACCCCGCAGGACUGGGUCCCUGCUGAACUUCGCCAUCUACACACUCCGGCCUACUGAAGUGUAAGAUGCCCACCCCCUCGACAUGGACGCGCCAGACAGGAAUUGCCCAAGUGAAGAGUAGAGAAGGUGACUCUACUCCCCCCAGGGCCGAGUUAAUGGGCGUGUAUUAUCCCACACCCAAAGGCUUAACACUACCACUACUACAAAUAUAAAUAAAAUUACAUUCAGUUGUUGUAUCUUGUAAAUACUAAUUCUAGAAUACAUUUAUGUACUCGCCAUUACAGGGCAUUUUGUCUGUAUGAAAUAUAUUUUAUUUAAAAGAUACAUCAACAUUACACAGUUCUCUCCUCACUCGGACAUAUUUUACAUAGUACAAAGUAAGUUUGUGUUAAAACUACUAGAGUACAUUAGUACCUUACAUUUUGCGAAAAGAUCGACACAAACACUUUAUUAAAAAAUCAAGACAAAUAUUUUUAUGAAGAAAAGAAAUACCAAAUGACAUUAUAUUAUCAGUGACGUCAUGUACAAAAUGACAAGGACAGAAAAAAUAUGUUAUUGUUGUCUCUUUUUAAUGGAGAUGUAGAAUUACUUUUAGUCUGUAGCGAUGAUUUACAUAACAAUACAAUGAAGUUUCUUGAUAGUUGUCUUCGAUACAACUCUUUUACAAUAUUUCAAUCAUGAAAUGAGGGAAAAUACAAGUAACCCUACAAUGUAGAUUAUUUAAAGAGUUUCUUAAUGGUUGUCUUCAACACAAUUCUUAUGUUCUAAACAUAAGUGGGAAAUAUUAAAGAGUAGCUGUUUGUGAGACUACAAACUACUUGGACAUACUGAGUUAUAUAAUAUGGAAUUACCACAUAGAACGACAAAUUGUUCCAUUGUGGGGAAAUAGUUUUUUUUUAAUAUCAUUUACAAAGAGGAACAAAAUCAAGUACCUAAAAAUAUUAUUUGUCAACACACGAGACAGUGGACAUCGACUCGGACGCAUCCGAAGAGUUUGAGAAUAUUUUUAAUAUAAUUUCAAGCGUCAAAUAUCGACGCACACAACUAGAACAAGCAUACAGCUCAUUUGAUGUUAAUACUCGUAUAACUGACGGAGGACAACAUUUUCCAAAUAAUAAUUACGAGAAGUAAGUUCCAGUGAAACAUAAUUUAUAAAUUACCAGUUUGGAAUCACUAAUCCGCCUUGAGCAAGUGUAGGAUUAUUUCUCAUUCCUUCUCUGUAUGAGAAGAGGCCUUUUUUCGGCAGUGGGACAAUUACAGGCUGAUGGUGUAAACAUGUCGACGACGGAACUAGUUUCUUGACGGUUGUCUUCGACACAACUUGUAAAGUUUCGUAUUAUUUAAAUACAUUUGAGACUGCAAACUAUUAUUAGGGUCAGUCUGACGCGGAACUUUCAAAAUGUAAUGUAUGUUUCAUUAUCAGUUUAAAUAUUGAUAAGAAUAAUCACGUGGAACGACAAAUGGUACUAAGUGUUCCCACUUAGUUAUUUUUGAUUCCUUAAUAGUUGAUUCUUGAAAUUGUGAAACUUCAAUCCUAAUCUUAGUUUUAAUGCAGACUUAUAAAAAUUCUUUCUUAACUAGUUUCUUGGCGGUUGUUCUCCGAUAAACAUGUAAUAUAAACAUUUUAAUCAUGAAAUAUGUAGCGAUCAUUACAUAAGUAGCUGUACAUGACACUACAAACUACUUGGAAAUACUGAGUAAGUCUUAGCGGACGAUAAAAUUAAGAAAAUUAACAAAGAUAGAUGAAGACAAUAUAAUUCACGCGACAAAUAUCGACGCACACAAUUAGAACAAGUACGGUUGAUGGUUUAUCUAUAUUUAGCACUUUAACUUUCGCCACUGGCGUCCUAAGUGGGGAACGUUUGUUUGUCUAUAGCCCCCAAUAACAUGUAGAGAAGUUCAGAGAGAACCAACUUCCUUCACUUACUGCAUGAAUGAAAUUUGCUCCACAGUCUAUACAAAGAGUUUCUUGACGGUUGUCUUCGAUGCUAUCCUCACGCUAUAAUUAUACGCAGGAAGUAUCGGUAAGUUGUCUCUCAAUGACAUUAAGUAUGAAGAAGUUAAAUCAUGUACAUUCCACAGUACACACGGAGCGACCACUUCAAUGACUUUCUAAGUGGGGAAAUAUUUCCAACACAAAGAACAAAAUGCAUACAAGAUUGCCGGCUUCUAGAACAACAAGUUUCUUGACGGUUGUCUUUGAUGUAACUCUUACAAGAGUGUGAGGACUUCAUUGUGGGAACUGCAAUGUUCCACUUUACUUGUGAACAAAUAUUUCCCAUAAAACAGUUGAUUAUAGGAAUACAAAGAUUAAUGAGCUGUCGGACACAAGACAUGGACAUCAGUGAGACGACAUAGAUAAAGACAGUAAUUCGUGCUGCAAAGAUCGACGACUUUAAUAUUUAGGAAAUAGUUUUAACUCUCAUCGCACACUACAACAGGCGCGGCCUGGUGGCACAUGGAAUAUUCAACAUUCCGUCUCGAUAACAAGGAGGGAGUUCCUGAGAUGUACGCAUCCAGGCGUAUUGUUAUAUACAACAUUAUACUUCUAUUAGUUUUAUGUCUAUAUCUGUUUUGUGUUUCAUCCUUUUGACGCCAAUUUUAUCCACCAAAACCAGAAAAAAAGGAUAAAGAUUUUUUACAAUUCAUAGACUGCUCACCGAGUUUCUUGACGGUUAUCUUCUAUACAACAUUAGAAACUAUUCACAUUAUGUAAUAUAAUAUUCAAUAUACUUGACAAUACCGACUAGGUCAGUCGUCUUGUGGGACUUACAAUAUCUCACCUACAGGAGACACUACUGACAGUUUUUGGUUAAGUAUUGAGAAAUGUUCUUGAGAAACAUAUUAUUUGCGCACACAACGCAACAAUAUUGACCCUACUGACCUCUUCUUACAUCAAAUUGUUUCUUGCUGGUUGUCUUCGACACAAAACUGAACUUUUGUGCAGGAUAUAAUCGAAUUAAUUAAUUUACGUACACACCAACAUACCAAAGGCAAGGAAGUUUCUUAAUGGUUGUAUUCGAUACAACUUUAGACAAUAUUCGUAUUAUAUGAACAUGAAAGUAACAUAUUAUUUUGUAAGUGGCAGUUAACUACCAACUGUUUAGAAAUACUGACACAUUAUGUAAUUGUCAUAGAUUUCAACUACACGUGUAAAAAAGUUAGACUCAAGUCACAACAUUCACGUAACAAAUAUCGAUGCACACAAUCAGAACAAACACAAAGCCCUGUAAGUAGCUGUUUAUGAGAUUACAAGCUACUUGGACAUACUGAUUUAUAAACACCACAUUUUGUGUGAGACUUUGUUGACGGCAGUUCUUCAAUAGAAACAUCAUAUUUUGACAUAUAGUAUGGACAUUUAUAAAGACACAAACUACAUACUUGGAAAUACCGACUAGGUAAGGUGUCUUGUGAUACAUGGAACGUUUAACAAAUCCAUGGAGUAUUGAGAAAUCAAACAUGGAUAUAUCACACGCAAAUAAGCGUCAGUUAGAUAAUAUUUGAAAAUAAAUGUUUUAAACGCAUCGGUUUUUAUCUUGUAUACAAUAUUGUGUCACAGUCAUAUUAUGUCGCAAGCAUUAAAUAUCGAUACACAAUUAGAACAAACAAGUCCAUUGUACAAUAUGUAUUACUAUUCAAUUCGUUUCUUGACUGCAGUUUUUGAUAGAACUAGAAUACAUAUUCCCGUAGUACAUUAAACAUAUUGAAAAGGAUAUCUUGUGUAGAACGACCGUAGAGCAGCAUCCUCCUCCUCAGUCGUACAUUCUUGACAGAAUGCUCGUGGUUGACAAUGAUGCAUUUUCCCUGGAUAUCGUAGCCAUCGCGAUGUGCCUCCACUUGUUGAAGUCUUCACCCGUAACCCUGGGCACGGGUUCCGCGUUAUACCCCACAGGACUGGGUCCCUGCUGAACUUCGCCAUCUACACACUCCGGCCUACUGAAGUGUAAGAUGCCCACCCCCGCGACAUGGACGCGCCAGACAGGAAUUGCCCAAGUGAAGAGUAGAGAAGGUGACUCUACUCCCCCCAGGGCCGAGUUAAUGGGCGUGUAUGAUCCCACGCCCAAAGGCUUAACACUACCACUACUUACUACAAAUAUAAAUAAAACAACAUUCAGUUGUUGUAUCUUGUACAUAAUAAUUCUAGAAUACAUUUAUGUACUCGCCAUUACAGAGCAUUUUGUCAGUAUGAAAUAUAUUUUAUUUAAAAGAUACAUCAACAUUACACAGUUCUCUCCUCACUCGGACAUAUUUUACAUAGUACAAAGUAAGUUUGUGUUAAAACUACUAGAGUACAUUAGUACUUUACAUUUUGCGAAAA